This 2657-nucleotide long non-coding RNA is filed under the name Sorghum bicolor (sorghum). Its description in RNAcentral is "long non-coding RNA (SBIC_LNC004433)". The record is from RNAcentral. Lineage: Eukaryota; Viridiplantae; Streptophyta; Magnoliopsida; Poales; Poaceae.
AGUUAUUUUAGGACGACGUAUCAUCAAUGCUAUGCACCUAUGUAUAUGACCUUGAUCACUCACUAGGCGCAUAAUAGGUGGAGAGUAUGUCUUGUCAUUUUCUUGGCCAUCCCCAUGCAUCCUAUCCCAUAGAUUGGUUGAUGCCCCAAUAAUUCACUAUAGUGGCUAAAAAUGCGUACAAGUUCGUAGUGGUACACCACUACGAUAUACUCAUAUUAGGUUGAUCUCCAUCAGAUUUGGCUCAAUGGCCAAGUCUGGGCCCUGAUCUGCACCCUAACCGAGGGCAUCCAACCUAGCAAGGUUGGUGGCCCCCCGUCGUGUAGUGCCGUAAAUAGGAGGUGGGGGCCAGGACACAAGGCACAAGGUUCACUACCGCCACACCCCACUAUCCUAACCCUAGUCCAAAUGAGGGGGCACUGCCAGAACAGGAAACGCCGCCAAUGCUGUCCUCACCACGCCGCCGCCCGAAACAUCACUGCCACUCUUUCACUAGACACCGACGCCAUGGUUGUGUCCUCCUUGGCCGAGCCCGAUGGUAUAUAUGCCUCCAUCUCCCUCCUCUCCUCUAUCUCUCCCUUUCCCCUCGAACCGAUCUUAUAUAGAGAUACAAAUGUUGCUAAUAUUUUCUACAAAAUCUAGUCAAAUUUUAAAAAAUUCUACAUACACGAGUUUCACAUCGACUUUUUUUUAUGUUAAUUAAGUUCAAUGUCAUGCUGCUGCAAGUAUUAUGUCGUACACUUCCCUAACUGUAAGAUAAAUCAUGAACUAUCCAACAUACUAGCUACUGUUUGUAAUGUUUACAGUUCCUAUAUAUAUAUAUAUAUAUAUAUAUAUAUAUAUAUAUAUAUAUAUAUACUUUACAUAAUCUGCACGGAGUAAUUAUCUAUGAAUAAAUAAAUAAAGUAAUGUUUGAGAAUUCCAUUUGGUUGCGGCGUCCUUGUCUGUAGUAUCAAAGGAGUGUAUGCUGGAGUUUCUUUUUAGGUAAGAGAAAGAGAAGGCCAGCUUGUUUUGCCCGUACUACGUGGAACCAAAAGGGGGAGCGCGACGACGAUCGACGAUGGAGGCCGCUGCUGCUGCCGAUCGCCCUCGCGAAAGCAUUUUGUUUGUUUGCUUCUCUUUAUCUAUCAGUCCACCCACCACUCUACAGAGAUAUCGAUAUCGAUACGAGAGAUAUCGGCCGGUGGCAAUAUAUAUCUAGAUAUAUGCAGACGUGUGUAUAUAUAUACGCGCGCAUACUAGCUAGAAGCAGGGGCAACACACACGUAUGGAACACCAUCAUAAACGGUGAAACAACGAUACAUACCUAGCUAUAUGCCGCUGUGUUGCGUAUGCAGCAUGUAUAUGUGCUGCCUCGUAUCUGGAACGACGAUACAUCUCUAUCCAUCUCUCGCGACUCGUUCUGCGUAUUAGCUAUAGGAAGGAAGGACGACGUCUAGAGACUAUAAAUAAAUAAAUACAGCAAAACAACAAAGCUACAAGCGUAUAGAGACUAGCUAGACUGCAGUGUGGCAGCAUGUGUGACAUGUGUAGUAUAUGCGGGACAGACAAUUUAUUUCCUGGUCGAAUUUUUGAUGGAAUUCCCGGUCGAAUCUGUAGCGCGCGAUAGCAGUUUUCUUGCCCUUUCCCUUUUUUCCCCGGUGGUUGUAAUAAUACAAAUAAAUAAACUAAUCCAGCAAAUCUCCUAUUGAGUUUUUAUUUAUUUCGUGAUUGAAUUUUAAUUUACCAAGUACUUGCUGCUUUCUUCGACAACAAACAAGUUUCACAGUAAUAAUGUUAGACAAGACAUGCAUGCAAUUGCCCACCAGAAUUAUUAUUGACCCGCGCGUUUUCCGAACGUAAGUAGUACCACCCACCAGACAUACGUACUUAUACUCUUACUAAAUUUGUCCUGUUUAAUGUCACUUCCUAGCUAGCUGGUACUGUCCACGUACCCACAUGUUGCGCAUAUCAUGAUUCAUGAACACAUAAUAAAAUAAAAAAAAGCAAACGGAAGGAAAAAUUUAAUAAUAAAUAGAAAAAGACCGAUCGAUGUGUGGAGAAGAAAAUAAUGCGAACGCGGCAAUUAUUUGUGAAAUCAUCAAGCGGCGUACGUAGUCACAUGGUGGCCAGCUAGCAAGAUAGCACCACGACGACAAGAAGACGAGCAAGGGGCGGUGGAGAGAUAGAGAGCUAGAGAGAGUGAGCGAUCAGAGAGGCUUACACGAAGGCGGAGGAGUAGGACCAGUUGGCGGUGAGGGGCACCUCCAGCGGCGGCAGCGCGUCGGUGAUGGUGAUCUGGAUGGUCCUCGUCUGCCGGUCCACGCCCAUCACCACGGCGGACACCAGCGUCGACGCCACCACGAACACGCGCAGCGCCACGCUGCACCCGUCCACCGGCGCCUGCGCCGCCCUGCCGCUUCCGCCCGCCGCUGCGCCGGAGCCCAUGUAGUAGCCGUAGCCGUAGCCGAGGCCGGGGCCGGGCCGGCGGCUGCUGCCGUUCACGGAGCCAGCAGCCAUGCCCACGCCGUUGAACCCCGGCUUCACCCGCGACGCCUCCAUGAGUUCUUGCUGGGUGAAGAGUAGGCGGGCGGAGCGCGGGGCGUGUGUGCCUGGCCUGUGUGCGGCAGAGAGCGUGGGAUGUAUGUAUGUGUAUGGUUGAUGAGGCAGGUGCGCCGUUG